AUUGAACGCUGGCGGCAUGCCUUACACAUGCAAGUCGAACGGCAGCACGGGUGCUUGCACCUGGUGGCGAGUGGCGAACGGGUGAGUAAUACAUCGGAACGUACCUUAUCGUGGGGGAUAACGCAGCGAAAGCUGUGCUAAUACCGCAUAAGCCCUGAGGGGGAAAGCGGGGGAUCGAAAGACCUCGCGCGAUUAGAGCGGCCGAUGCCUGAUUAGCUUGUUGGUGGGGUAAGAGCCCACCAAGGCGACGAUCAGUAGCUGGUCUGAGAGGACGAUCAGCCACACUGGGACUGAGACACGGCCCAGACUCCUACGGGAGGCAGCAGUGGGGAAUUUUGGACAAUGGGGGCAACCCUGAUCCAGCAAUGCCGCGUGAGUGAAGAAGGCCUUCGGGUUGUAAAGCUCUUUUGUCAGGGAAGAAACACCGGCUCUAACACAGUCCGGGAAUGACGGUACCUGAAGAAUAAGCACCGGCUAACUACGUGCCAGCCGCCGCGGUAA
RNAcentral lists this ribosomal RNA (501 nucleotides) under uncultured bacterium. RNAcentral describes it as "partial 16S ribosomal RNA". It matches the Rfam family "Bacterial small subunit ribosomal RNA", at positions 29 to 523 of the family's 1533-position model. The record is from RNAcentral.